UCUGUCAUCAUUUUAGGUGGGGGAACUUGCACAAUCGGUGGCUGACUAAAUACUUUUUUGCCCCACUGUGUUCCAGCAUAAAAAAUACCAUAUAACUUUUGUGUUUACACAUAUGUUGCUGCCGGACGUCGCGUGCUCAAACCUCAUUGUCAUGAGACACUCUCACAAACAAAAUCAUGGUUUAGUAACGCAGUAACGCAGCAUGCUUAUGGGAAAGUAGCAGUAAUCUAAUUACUUUUUUGCAAUAGUAAUCCAUUACUUUACUAAAUACGUUAGUUAUGCGUUACUGCCUCUGAUUUCUGAUCACGAUACACGAUACAUAUCGCGAUAUGUUUGAAUAACCUCCAAAAACAAAUGUUUUUUUUAACCAUAUAGUGACUAAAAUUUCACUGGUAUAGUCACUCAAAUUACCCAUUCCAUAUAUACUAUAAACAAAAUCAGAAUGAAUUGAAAUGUUUUUUUAACCACAGAGAUUUUUCCAAAAUGACACUACUGUCGCAGUAAGUCUCUUUCUGUGGUCAACACUGACCUUUAACGAAAGAUCAUAGCAACAAAAAAGGACAUCAAGCAAUAAUUCAUGAGACAAAAUAAAGCAAUUAAAAUUGAAAAGGUGCUCUUUUGUAAUUAUAACAUAUAAAAAUUGUAAAAUAAAAAAUGUGAUGACCUCAAAUUACAAAAACAUAUGCCUAGAUAAUGACUAUUAAAAAAGCUGACCAAGAACAGUCACAGGGAUCACAGCUGGUUAAUUUAAUGUUUUCUUUGGUGUGUGGGGAGAUGUUGACAUGCAGAGUUUAAGAAAAUAUCCCCCACACUAUUAGACCACCAUCAGCACCCUAAACUGUUUAUACGAGGCAGGACAGAACUUCUUCGGUUUUUCCAAUUUUGGUUAGUUCAGGUAAUUGUGCCAUCACGUUCCUAUUCUCAGCUGGCAGGAGUGACAUCUGCUGUGGUCUUCUGCUGCUGUAGCCCAUUUGUUUUUACAUUUUAAGCUUUGUGCAUUCAGAGAUCCUCUUCUGCACACUGUGGUUUGUAAAAGUUGUUAUUUGAGUUACCUUUGCCUUCCUUUCAGCUUGAAGCAGCAGCCUGGUUCUGCUCUGACCUCUGGCAUCAAACAACCACUCAGAACAGCUGCUCUCUUUUUUUCAGUCCAUUGUGUGUACACCCUGGAGAUAGUACUGUGGGAAAAUCCCAGUAGGUGAGCAAAUUCCAAAAUACUCAGACCAUCCUGUCUGGCACCAAGAACCAUAUAUUAUAUAAAUCUUUUUUUUUUUUUUGUAUUUUACAAAGCAGCCAAGGUCCACUGAGGCUUUUUAAACAUUUGUAGAACUCUAUUAUAUCUGUCAGCAUCAUCAAGCACAAUGACAAUAGAGCCUCUGGGUGUGAAUCUUCACCUUCCUUCAUAUUUACUGCAGCACCAUUUGAUCUUUUACAGCUUCCUUCAGUCCCCUGCACUGCUUCUCAUUUAAAACCAUGUGGGGGUUUGAUCUCACUAUGACAAAGCUUUUCUGACACUUAAAAGGGCAUCUCGCCACUGUUCAGCUCUCACAUGCAUUCCUAAUAGUGAGAAUGAUAGUUAGCAGUAAGCGCUAAUUUCACAUAAUUGAUUUUUCCACUCGGUUCCAUUUAACACAAUGUAAAAACCGUAAUUGGACUCUAUGUCAGUCUGCACAUUGUUUUUCACUUCCUACUAUGUCCCCUUUAGAGCUUCGGAGGGAACAUAUAUAAUGGAUCACGACAAAGAAGCUGGAUGCAAGAACCAGGUGCAUCUGUGGUUAUCAGUUUGCAGGUUCAACUCAGGCAAGUGUGGUUGGAGAGAGCAAAUUAAGAAUUUUAUAUAUUCCCUGUCGUGCUUCCAAGGUGCCUUUAAUCAAACCUCUUAGAUUAAAAAUAUUCUUUAGGCCUUUUUAAAUGUUAAGUGUUAAAAACUCGUCUCUGAUUGCCAGGAGAUUCCAGGAGUUGGUUCCUAACGAACUGUUAUAAUUCACCCGCCCCACAACCACCACAUAACUUUAGUGAUUUAUUACUUCUUCUACAAUUCCAACUUCUAAAGAACGAGUCUGGACUUGUUGCUUGCUUUUUUCUGAUAAUGAUAGCACUGUUAUUAAUAUCUGUCAGCGCCAGGGCUAGUUUGUUUCCAGUAAACUACAGCCUUACAACAACUAUCCUCUGGCCAUUUUGGGCAUUCUUGGUUACUGAGACUACUGGCCAUACAGAAAGGCUGUGUACUGUUAGAAUAGCAUUGAAAACAGAAAAUGAUUAGGGUCAUAAUUAACUUUUCAGCAGUGUAUUUUACUAACUAGUUAGAAACUUAACAGAAUGCACCACAUGACUCCACACCACCACUGCACAUGUCUCUUGUGUUCUCCUCUAUAUGUGCUUCUAGACAAGGUUGAGAGUUUUGUAAACAACGGACUUGGAGGUUGUGAUGACACCACUUAUAACAUGCCCAAGAUAGGUUUUUCGCUGCAUUAAAGUUUGUGAAAAUAAAUAAAAACAUUUUCAUGGCACCACAUAUCUGAAAAAAUUUAAUUUAAAAAAACCCCACACAGAUACUGAUAUACUGUAUAUGUACAAUAGAACAAAAAUAUCAAUACAGCCAUAGGGUUGGACAAUAUUGUGAUGAGGUAGACCAGGUCAUCUACUAAUUGGAAGGAUGGUGGUUCAAUCCUUGGCUGCUCCAGUCUGCAUGCCAAAGUAUCCUUGGGCAAGAUACUGAUCUCAUGAAGUUGCUCCUGAUGCGCUCAUUUGAGUUUGAGUGUUUGAUAAAAAGCAAUAGGUGAAUAAAAUGCUUUGAGUGCUCCAAGGAAAGGGAGUGGGAGAAAGCAAUAUAAUAACCAGUCCAUUUACCAUAGUUGUGGUCUAUGUGCUGUAUAUUAAUUAGGUCCACUGAGUCUUCAUCGUGUGUUUCACGAGGUUGGUGCUUUGGGGAUGCAGCUAUGUGUGAGUUGCUGGUAGACUCAUCGACAGCCCUGCGUAACGAUCUAUUGAAAUGCUGUAAAAUGUACGCAGGCUAUGCAUGUUUUCCUAUAGCAUUACAGUUCUGAAAAAUAAGUUCAGCUUUAAUAAAAACAGUGUUUCUCCAUGAAAAGAUAAUCAAGUGCGCUGGCUGCUGCUCAAGCCAGAUUUGCAAAAUAUCUUGCUGAUAAUUAUGACCACUGACAUGAUUAUGCCUUUAAGUAUUCACAGGCAAAGUGUUAACAAAAUGUCAAUAGUAAUCUAAUUUGCUUUUAAUCUUUUAAAUCUCAGGGGGGUACCUGCUUGAAAAUGACAGACCUAAAAAGAAUGGAUUAUUUCUCUACAAUUGCAAACUCUGUGUAAACCAUCUUGGUAUCAAAAUAAACUAACACGUGUGAGACUUGAUAAUAGGUGUAAGCAUUACAGCAGAUGCUACAGUAUCAAAGUAACUGAGGAUGGAAGACAGAAAAACAAAAGUUGAAAUUUCUUAGGUAUUGAAUAGCAAAAAUUAGCCGUACUUGUCAGACAAAUACACAACAGUUUACUGGAGCGUAAACAGGCAAAGAAGGCAGAAAAUAGUGGUUCAUGAUGGGAAACUGCUCUUGAAGCACACUGGGAGAUGGAGCAGUGCAGGAAAUGUGGUUUUAUUGCGGUGGAUUUUUUUUAGGAAGCGAGACCGCAAAGGUAAGACAGAAUUCAUGCUAAUAUUUUUCAAAAUUGAAGCAUAAUUUUGGUCUUUUUUUGCUGCUGCUUCAGUGAACUUUGGUUGGAUCCGAGAUCUGUGCUUUCAGCAGAGAUAUGGUUUGGCCACGUACAUGCCAUCGGAGUGAACAGGCCUCCUUGGAACGUCUGCAGGUUUUUCAGAACGCUGCUGCAAGGCUCCUGUCCAAGUCUCCCAAGUACUUGCAUGUUGCACCACUGCUGAUCCAGCUGCACUGGCACCAUCCCGCACCAACAUACAUCCCUAAUCUUUUACAUCCAUACAUCCACAGCAGGCCCCUGAGGUCAUGUGAUCAAGGUUUGUCAGUUGUCCUUCAUAUGAGGCUGAAAAUGGAAGGUGACAGAGCUUUUGUAACUGUGGCCCCCAGACUCUUGAGAUCUGUAGACUCAGUGGUGUCUUUGUGAUUUUUAUCUUGAAAGGUGCUUUACAAAAAAAUUUACUUACUUAGACAUAUGGAUAACAUGAAACAGCCUAAAAAUACAUUUUUGCUAUAAUUUUAAGCUAAGUUUGUUCUAGCUUUGUGUUACUGUAGGCAGUUUACCUUACAUUAUAAAGUGCCUUGAAGCGACUGUUGUUGUGAUUUAGAAUAGAAUAGAAUAGCUAAGGGCAAGGGAGGGCUCAAUCCAGCCAACUGAGUUGUUUUACCCACCCAAACCAGCCAGUAGUCUGCUGAUCGCCUACAAAACCUCCCCCUGCAGAGCCAUUUAGACUUGAGGUACAAGCA
Molecule: long non-coding RNA, 4400 nt
Organism: Haplochromis burtoni (Burton's mouthbrooder)
Lineage: Eukaryota; Metazoa; Chordata; Actinopteri; Cichliformes; Cichlidae
Exons: 2
Source: RefSeq, a predicted model, not a curated record